This 564-nucleotide long non-coding RNA is filed under the name Eutrema salsugineum. Its description in RNAcentral is "long non-coding RNA (ESAL_LNC001261)". The record is from RNAcentral. Lineage: Eukaryota; Viridiplantae; Streptophyta; Magnoliopsida; Brassicales; Brassicaceae.
AAGUUUCAAACUAACCGAAAACCUAAGAAGCAGCAGCAAUUUCGACCGAGAAAACCUACUGGCGCCGGCGCGAAAACUGUACUGUCAUUGCCCAAGGAAGAUGCCCUUGGGGAAAAAACUGUACGUUGAUGUAUGAGACAGCGACUUAGAGAGAUUGGGGAAAAAAUUGUCUAUCAUGUGUGAAAAAAAAGGCAGACAGGUUGGAGCCAGGUAAAUCUAUUUUUAUAUACUAACAUAAAUAUAUUAUAAAUACACGAAUUUCAAAACCUUAUUCUGACGUUUUCUGGUUGUUGUUUUUUCUUGUUUUUGGGGGAUUUUCUUGGAAUGGGGAAGAAGAAGAUGGAUAUCAUUCGUCGUCGAUAGUGGGUAUACAGUUUUCCGUUUAAAGAGAGGAAGAACAAGAAGAAUGAAGAAGAUCUAGCUAUAUUUUUCCUUAAUAUGAUAUCUUUAUGAACCCAUUUCUCUGUGAAUCAUUUUCUUGUGUUUAUGUUAAUUUUUCUGCGACUAACAUGAGAUAUAUAAAAGUAUGCCCUCUUUUGGAAUCUUGUUAUGUUCGUUGCUCUC